RNAcentral lists this ribosomal RNA (253 nucleotides) under uncultured bacterium. Its description in RNAcentral is "partial 16S ribosomal RNA". It matches the Rfam family "Bacterial small subunit ribosomal RNA", at positions 524 to 776 of the family's 1533-position model. The record is from RNAcentral.
UACGUAGGGGGCUAGCGUUGUCCGGCAUCAUUGGGCGUAAAGCGCGUGUAGGCGGUCCGGUAAGUCCGCUGUGAAAGUCGGGGGCUCAACCCUCGAAUGCCGGUGGAUACUGUCGGGCUAGAGUGCGGAAGAGGCGAGUGGAAUUCCUGGUGUAGCGGUGAAAUGCGCAGAUAUCAGGAAGAACACCCGUGGCGAAGGCGGUUCUCUGGGACGGUACUGACGCUGAGACGCGAAAGCGUGGGGAGCGAACAGG